RNAcentral lists this ribosomal RNA (882 nucleotides) under uncultured bacterium. RNAcentral describes it as "bacterial SSU rRNA". It matches the Rfam family "Bacterial small subunit ribosomal RNA", at positions 46 to 903 of the family's 1533-position model. The record is from RNAcentral.
GCCUAAUACAUGCAAGUCGAGCGGAAAUUUUAUUGGUGCUUGCACCUUUAAAAUUUUAGCGGCGGACGGGUGAGUAACACGUGGGUAACCUACCUUAUAGAUUGGGAUAACUCCGGGAAACCGGGGCUAAUACCGAAUAAUACUUUUUAACACAUGUUUUGAAGUUGAAAGACGGCAUCUCGCUGUUACUAUAAGAUGGACCCGCGGCGCAUUAGCUAGUUGGUGAGGUAACGGCUCACCAAGGCAACGAUGCGUAGCCGACCUGAGAGGGUGAUCGGCCACACUGGGACUGAGACACGGCCCAGACUCCUACGGGAGGCAGCAGUAGGGAAUCUUCCACAAUGGACGAAAGUCUGAUGGAGCAACGCCGCGUGAGUGAAGAAGGAUUUCGGUUCGUAAAACUCUGUUGCAAGGGAAGAACAAGUAGCGUAGUAACUGGCGCUACCUUGACGGUACCUUGUUAGAAAGCCACGGCUAACUACGUGCCAGCAGCCGCGGUAAUACGUAGGUGGCAAGCGUUGUCCGGAAUUAUUGGGCGUAAAGCGCGCGCAGGUGGUUCCUUAAGUCUGAUGUGAAAGCCCCCGGCUCAACCGGGGAGGGUCAUUGGAAACUGGGGAACUUGAGUGCAGAAGAGGAUAGUGGAAUUCCAAGUGUAGCGGUGAAAUGCGUAGAGAUUUGGAGGAACACCAGUGGCGAAGGCGACUGUCUGGUCUGUAACUGACACUGAGGCGCGAAAGCGUGGGGGGCAAACAGGAUUAGAUACCCUGGUAGUCCACGCCGUAAACGAUGAGUGCUAAGUGUUGGGGGGUUUCCGCCCCUCAGUGCUGCAGCUAACGCAUUAAGCACUCCGCCUGGGGAGUACGGUCGCAAGACUGAAACUCA